Athalia rosae (coleseed sawfly) is the source of this 8562-nucleotide long non-coding RNA. RefSeq lists it as uncharacterized. The record is from RefSeq and is a predicted model, not a curated record. NCBI's taxonomy places the organism in Eukaryota, Metazoa, Arthropoda, Insecta, Hymenoptera, Athaliidae. The transcript has 3 exons.
GACGCUACCUCAUAUAAGGUGGUUUGGAAACGCGUCAUUUCAGGUGUUUCUACUAAUUUCAGAUACUGUGGCCCUACAAACAGUAUCUCAUUGAGUUAACUGCAUUUAUAUUUAUUUGUAACUGAACUUAAUUUUGUCUCUGAUUAUAUGAGGAUUGUUUCAGAGGACGAUUCCCCGUGUAUAACAUUCAUUGUCUAUAAAUGUGAAACUUAUUUACUUGUGAUUUAUUAUAUUUCUAAAUGUGCAUUUCAAUUAUAUGUAUUUGAGAAUUCUUCUAUUAUUUUUUCAGCUAAUCUUAUAUUUUUUUCCAGCAUCCAUUUGUUAUAGAUUUGGUCAGCCGACAAAUUCAAACAGCACGAAAGUUGCGGGACCGUAUCGUGAUCGGUUCGUUUAUUGAUUAUCAUCGCGUUAACUGCGGUCGGUAUGCGCUACCCCUAGUCGGUCGAGGGUGUUAUUUAACUCUUGGUAGUUUCAGGAACUGCCUCGGUCGUGUGGUGAGAGGGCGUGAGCUUGCAAGACUUCAGUUGGGAAGAAGCUCUCGUUUGACCGAUUUUCUUCGAUCGACUGGAGGUCUGACAGGAAACGUGUCGACGAGAUGGGCAACGCACGCGUUCGAUAUUAAAGACACCAUCGGGGGAGUUUCAUAAACGUCGCGGGUAUUAAAAAAUCCCCUCAUUGUUUAGCCCGCUGCAGGUACUUGACGAAGAAGAAGAGGCUUAUUACGUGGCUGAGCUUUCUCUGGAAACACAGCAGGAAGAGAAAAGUGGAGUGUCUCAAGUGUUCCCAAGUUUCUUACGGUUUUCCUCAAAGUUCACCAACGAAAUCCUUCUUCAGGGUUCCUUGGGGUCCUCUCGGAAGUUCUUACGGCUAGACGUACGGAUCUACCACACGAACGUACAAUAUGUAUACGUAAAUUACAUACAUAUGCGUGUAUAUAUAGUGUACGACUGUACCCCGUGUAAGGCGUAUUAUACAAGCUCGUACCGAGAACAAUGGUUAUCCACGGACAAAGGUCUGUAGAAAAAUGAAAGAGACCCCUGUAGACGGGGGCAAGAUGAAAUCGCCGAGACUCCGAACAUAACCAGCUGAAACGAUGGAAAGCGACCUGGGGCCGGUCCGCCCGGUUCUCGUCAAGUCACCCCCGAAAUCCGUACAAUCUAGAAAUAUUAGAAUGAGAAAAAUGGAACGUCUCGUUAUUCGGAGCUUGCAGGGUAUAUGGGUGUAUGCGUGCACGCGUACCUGAGCAUAAAGUGCGUUAAUUUCGGGGGGACAAAAAAUAAUCACCGCGGCCGAAACGAGGGGUGUGAAAUCGAGAAAUAUAUUAAAAAGAAAGACGAGCAAAAUAUUACACCCCACCGCUACAAGGGCCGCAUUAGCGAAAUAAAUUAGGAUUGUUUUUUCCCCCAAAAUAUGUAUAUUAUACGCGACACAAAUAUGUGCACGGUUCUAACUGAACUUGUGUUCGAACAAAACUUACAACGCAAAUGAAAUGAAAAAACGAAAGGUAAUUUUUUCAUCAACCAAAGUUUUUAAAGAAAAUUUUUAACGACACAAUAAAUACGUGGAAACUAAUGAAGAAAACCAGAAAAAGAGCAGUCGUCGACCCGAUAACGAAACGAUUCAAUCAAAUCAAUCAAAUGAAAUCAUUUCUUUGGGUGAAACCUUUGAAAAUUCCGAUGUAAAACCGUACCCUGUAACUUUAUCACUAUGAAUAUUUUCAGGAAUAGAGAUCGCCAGCUGUCAUUAUUGUUAUUAGUUUUAUUAGGCUCUUUAUCUGAAAUCUUCUUUUUCUUCAUCCACUUCUUCGAUAGCAUCUCACGUUCGCGGCGGAAUGUUGGUUGUAUUUUUGCCGUUAUACUGGCAAUUUGCGUUCGCAGCUAUCUUCGUAGACAUCUGGGCAUUAAUUAAUCCGGCGAAUACACGCGACGCGGCAGGGUUAAAGCUGCGAACGCGGGGAUGGAAUAUCGUCUAACUAGCUAUACUCGCGUCGAGUCCCAGGUCGACGAUACUCGCGUAUGAUGAAAUAAUUCCUGCCAAUUCCGCGCACUCGAUAAAAUGAACGAGUCUCCUUUCCAACCCGAGAGUCAUCCCUCCUCAUUCUCCACUUCCUCAUUUCCUUCGCCUGUGCGUACACCAAAGUAGCAACAGCUUUGAACAACGUAUCGUCGACCGCUGCAACGUGUAGAAGGACGAGAGAAAAAGAAAAAAAAAAAACAAGACGAAAAAAUUAUCCGUAAAAGAUAAUUUUUUUAUGAGAAUUCCUCGGAUCGUACAAGAUGAGCAUGGUUAGUUGAAAAGAAAUUUUCAUAAUUUCAACAAAGGAAUGCCGCGCCGUACGAUAUAUUUAUUAUAUUACUGAAGGGUUUUCAAAGGGGCCGUUUGUACAGAGGUAAUAAAUUAUUUCGCGAAUCUAAUUUUCCCAGGAUUGAGCGAAACAGAAAAAAGAUUAAUCAGGUGCAGGUCUACCCUGUUUCCUUUUUUCAUUAUCCUCUUGUUUCAUCAAGAGACGAAGGAGAACAAAUAAAACGAAGAAAAAAAUUGUCAAUUUCUGUCACUAUUAUGCCGCGGAAAGCUGAGUCCCGCAAUGUUACCCCUGGGCUGCGACUCGGAUUGAGAGUGAUUGUGAGUAAAACUUAGGAAGAGUUUUGUUCGAAGCUUUUGCUACUCGCGCUCUAAGGGCGGCGACUACGUCGAGCUCGAGAAAGUGCUUUCUGGAAGCGCUCUCAUUAGGAACAUCCUCCACGACCAUCCAUCCCUUCCACGCUUCCAUACCGUCUUCGCAUUCGCUUUCGUGCUACUCCUGGCGCACAGGCUCUCUUAUUGUUUACCGUUCUUUGUCCUCUAUAUACUUGUAUAGAUAUAUACAUAGGUAUGUGGAUAGGGUACCACCUGAAAGAUGAAAGAAGAGGCCUCGCAAGGUCUCAAGAAUUAGUUUUCAAUUUCUGCGUCUCCCUUUGUGUUGCUCUCUUUCGAUUCUGUUACGUUUCUCUUCAUCUUUCUCGCUCCGUUCUCCUGUUUAUCCCUCAUACACACAACCCAUACCUAUCCGCAGCCUCUUCUAUACGGACGCUGUAGCCCCAUCCGAGAGAAUAUUUCGGCUGAAAUUAAAUUUUCAAUCUGCUGACGAACGUUUUAUAUUUUAUUCUCUUAUGUAUUGUAGGAAAUAUGACGAAUGCGAAAACAUUACUUGCAAUGUAUAACUGUGGGGAUACUGUUAAUCAAAAAAUGUGCAACGAUGCAUCGCCGAACAAUAUUUAAAAUACAAUUCCUAUCCCAGGGUGAAACGUGAACCACACGGAGCUGAGUAGUGGAGCGGUCCGUAAUGGUUCUUUGAGCUCAUUAAUAAAAAUGGAAAAAAAGAUGGGUUCGUACUACCGCGUUUUGCUGGAGCUUAUUAGCUGUUGAUGACGGUGAUGUUCGAGAAGGGAGGCUGCUGCAGUGCAGGCUAGGGCUCUUCAACCCGCACGUGCAUAUUUUAAGAAGUCAUCAUCGGAGCGCGGUAUGGUAGUAAUAUAUUAGCCGACGCGGGACGAAUGCGCAACGAAAGAGGAAGAGUCGAAGGCGACGGAGAUGACGAGGGAGAAGAAUAAAAGAAGUAUGAACUUGAGAACGAAGCAAAGGUGUCGUCUGUGUAUUGAGAAGAAGCAGAAGAAUGAAAAAGAAGAUACGCGAUGGCGUGGAAAAGGGGUGGGAAACGUUGAAUGAGGGGGUGUUGAAAGGGGGUGGUGAGGUAGAGACGUGAAGAGGUGGAUGAAAAGUGAAGUGCCACCCGCGGAAUACGGGUUAAGUGUCCUUGAGGAAAAAAGAUAAGAAAAAAAAUGAGCUACAUCGCGGCGGACACGAACGGAAAUACCGAGACUCGCUCAAAUGUCUUUUUACCCCAUGCUUAUAACUCCGUAGACGUUGCGAUUAAACAUUUAACGCUGUCCAAGUUUGAAAACUUUCGCCGAGAAAUGCUCCCCGCGCGAUUCUUCUCCUUUUUUUUCCAACCCCCCCGCUAUUCGCUCUGCGAUAUUUCAAACACUUUAGGAAACAAAUUAUACAUAUACGUUGCGGACCCCCACGGGGGUCGCGUCCGCUCUUAUCUUCCGCAGGUUGGCGGACAGGCAUCCCUUCGAAGUGACGAGCUUUUUCUUCUCCUUCUCCUCCUCCUUCUACUUCUUCUUCUUCUUCUUCUUGAUAUCUCGUUUUUCUUUUAUCUUAUUUUUCUCGCUGAUUUCCGCAGCUAUUCCGCGCCGCUCUAAUUUGUUACGGCACUUGCAGGGCUUUCGGAAAAGUUUAUCGUACCCCGGCGACCCUUUAUACUUUUUCCUUAUAAAUAUAUCUACAAUAAGAUACAUCUAAUUUAUUCUUUAAUUUCGGAGAAUUAAAAUUCGAAGUAACGCGAAUAAGGUAUACCUGCGGGGAAUCGGAAAUAAAAAUUUGUCAAACUGUAACGAGAAACUCCGAAGAUCAUGCCUGGAAAUUUGAGGUGAAUAAGCGCGGUGGGUAUCUAGCUUGUAAAUCAAUGGAAUUAUAUAAAACCGAAGCGAAUAACUGUUAUCGAAUCAUCGUUUUCCCGCUAACAGCGCAGCGAUUAUUCCUCAUUUAGUUCUUGGCAAUAUAUCAGGAUCCGAAGAAAUCAAGCAAGCAAGCAAGCAAGUUAUAGCUGGGGGAUCGGAAAAGCUCCGGCCAACUGUUACAAGGUAUACGCGCGUCAGUCAGUCACGUACACUAACGUCUCGUGAAGCUGGUUGCAAUAUCGCUCGAUUUUUUAUUUCCUAACAUUUUAUCCCCAUUCGUUACCUUCUCUCUUUUCUUCCGACGUUUUUUUUCCUGAAUUUUUAUUUUUUCCCUCUAUUUAUUUUUUAAUCUUCCCAACAUUUUUCUCGUAUUGUUCUACGCUACAUCUUGUCGUUCCUCGUUGUUUUCUUUUUUCUCAUUUUAGUUAUCGUCUUUUGCUGCCCCCACGUCCUCAUCGUAGAUUUUUAUUUUUAGUAGAAGGAUAAAAUUCUACUCGUACUUAUUGAGCCAAUGCAAUUGCCCGAUAAAAUUGGCCAAUUUAGCUCUUCGACAGCUGCGCCACGGCCUUCAACGUCUUUGCGCCUUUCUAAAUCUUUCACGGAGUGAAGAACGUGGCUCGUAUUUUUUUUUUUGUUUCAUCUCUGUACGCGCGUUCGUUCAAACGUUAAAAAUCUACGUAAAGACGUUGUUAAUAUUACUCGAACAGCUGACUGCAGGUCGUUCGAAUACUUGAGAAAUUAAUACAUUUACGUUCUCCGAUCCUGAUGGUGCAUAAAUAUCGGAAUCACUCUGCAGGCGCGUAUAUCGACCUCGUGGGAAUUAGAUUUUCAAUAUACAUAAUAAUGAGUGGGACUUCUAUACGACGGGAGUUUACAUGACAUACAUUCGAUUUUUUUUUCUUUCUCGCUCUUCUUUCUUUCUUCUAACUAACAAUUCAGCUCGUGUCAAGUCAUAAGCUUGCAAAUUAAAGAGGAAAGCUGUUCGCCUCUUUUUAUGGGUAUGUAAUAUACCUUUUUCAUUUCCUCCAAAGACUCGCCUGGGGUAUUUCUAGUUAUUAAUUAAUUCAUUCGAAUUUGGUGUCGCGAACAGACAUCGCGGAAGGCGUCCCUGAUGCACGUCCCUCGGCUGCUGAAAUUUGAAUUCAUCGCUAUAGCUGCUGGUAUAGAAUUUAAUUAUGUAACCGAUAAUAAAUCUAACGGUAAUGAAAAGCUUCAGGUGACGAGAAACGGUCAUUUCUACGUGAUGAUCAAAUAAUACUAGUACUUGAGAAUCAGAGGAAUUGCUAGUUGUUUAAAUUCAUAAAUUCACGGACACGAAUUUAUUACAUACAUAAUAAGAGUGGUGCUCGCUCAUCUCUGCGAACUGACCCACGGGUAGGCAAUGAAUUUUUCUCGACGGAGAUAAUGGAAGCAAUAAACGCUUUGACGCUUGUUUGCCAUUAAAUAAAAAUACAUAUUCAUGGCUUAUUAUACGAAUGGAAAAGAGUAAAAAAUAAAACCAAAUUGAAGUCUGGAAAGCUGCAUGUCGUCCUGUCGCGUAUUUGCAACACGUACCAACUGCUAUCGUCGAACCUGUACGAUUGCAAAAAAAAAAAGAAUUUGAAACGAAAGAAAAAAGAGAGGGUGUAAGAAAAAAAAAUGACUUCAAUUCCUCUUCGUUUUUUGGGACUUUUUUAUCCAGCGUUCGAUAUAUUUAUAUGCUCAUAUAUGCAUACUCUGACCAUGAGUACAUACACCGUAAUUACAUAUGUACAUACGUACAUAUACGAUUCAGGUAUAUAUCGAAAGCGACAUGAGAAUCUGCACUCGAUACACUACUCCAAGUACAUACCAUACCAUAUACUCGUUUGGUGAGUUCGACAGAGCGCGUCUGUUUUCGCACAUCGAGGCUAAACGGAGCAGCAAUAAGGAUGUGUAAAAAAGGUAAAAGGAAAAAAAUGAGGCAAAUAAAAAGCAGCGGAAAAGGAAAUCGAGGGGGAAGGUGGUAGGAACGAGGUGAGGAAGGGAAUUCGUGGGUAUAUACAAGGCGGAAGAUAAAGGGGGAGUGGAAAGCCAUCGGUCCAAGAGGGAUGCGACUGACAGUCAAUUGUUAUCUCGAGGUACGUUCGGCCGCCAUUGAUCAUCUGAAAAGGGGAAGAUAUAUACCCUUGGGACUCCGACGAGCAAGACGACGAAGAGAAACACUCCAAAAAUAUAGGCAAAGUCUCCCUCAGGAUAAAUUGCGAUCGAAUUAAAUUUAACAGGAGGAAAAAAACAGUCGGAUAGUUGGAUAACUGGCGAGGGUGGAUAUAAAAGUUUUAACAGAAAUUUCUCGUAUCGUGUAACAAACUACCCAUUUUCUACGUAUUCGCAUACUCGCUCGAUGUACUAAAUCUCGUUGCUGGAAAAAAUUCGAACGAACGAAUUCAGGGGUAUAAAGAUUCCUCUCACAAUUUCUCAAAUUUCUCCGUUAAUUCAAUGAUUUUCAAAUUCUAUUAUAAGAUAUGGUUUAAAAAAAAAUUAUACGUGUGUUAUAUCCGAGCGGCACGAAGAAAAGAAUAAAAAUUCCCUCCAGUCACGUCGCUUUCCGGUGUGGUGCGCGUGUAUAAAAUCUACAAAGAAAUUUGCCGCGACUGAAGCGAGAAAAGAAAAAAGAGGAGAAGAGUAUGAAAAAUUUGCCGCUCAUUCCGAUCCUCCCCGCGUUUUCUGUAUCAGCUGGGAACCGACACCCCUUGGAUCGCUCCGAAGCACGCAGUGUUAGCCUGCCUGGCUGGCUCUCUGCGACGAUCACGUCCAGUUAAAACAAUUAUAUUGAAUUUCCAAGAAGAGCGGGAGCCUGUAGGGAGAUUAUUACGCGGAUUACGUAAAUUAAAUCGUCAGACUAAAAAGAUGGGGAAAUGUUUCGCUUAGAAGUCCAGGCACGUUCAACCGACCCUCGAGCUCUUCGGCCGCAGUGCGAAACGAACGCCAACGGACAUAGGCCGACAAACAGAUUGACGGAUGGAUGGACCCGCUCGUCAAACAAAGAAGAUUCCUCUUGUUGUCCGCGCUAUUUUAUUUUAUUUUAUUCAUUUACUUAUCACCGUUCGUUCGCUUCUUUUUUAUAUUGGCAAUGUUCGGAAGACGUGUGCAGGCAUUGAAUCAACUAAAAUAGAAGGAAUAUACACGUACGACGCGAUGGAAAAAAAAGAAACACUUUCAGAAGUGUUCUUCAGUUUCGUGUUUUCCGCGUGUUCCAAUCGUCGCUCCGAGACUUCGAACGGGCGGCCAGAAAUGAGAACAUUUUAAAAACAGAGCACGUAGCGUCUGUUUAUUCAAAUUUUCUCAAACACAUACAUAAAAUUUUUCUCUUCGCAGGGCGAUUUGAAACCAUAUUUCAUCUAUACCAACUUCCGAGUUGCGCGAUACCCCUCACCUAUAUUCUUCAUACAAUGCUUAUUCGAAAAACUUUUAUAGCGCGUUGAGACACCAUCGUAAUUUGACGCGAAACGUAAGUUAGUGUUGUUGAGAAAAAUUCAGUAUCACAUGCGGAGCUUCACUUUCAUACAUAUCUUUCGAUUCAGAGUAUACUAUAAAUGUAGGUAAAGAAAACUCAAUCACAAAAGAGUGGAAAAAAAACCAGGAGUGUUUCAAUUCAAGCCAGGAAUAGCAAAAGAGCUAGCUCAUUCCGAAUGAUUUAUAGCAUCUAUUUCAACACGCUGUCACCAAAAAACUAUCAUAAGCAGGCGGUUAUUCAAUUUGAAACCCCACCUGCGGUAGGUAUAUGAUAAAAAAAUAAACUUCUGGAUAUUUUGCCUUGUUUCUUUCGAGUUUUUACUUUUAUCGAGCUUCCGCGGUUCGCUAAGAUAGGUCGGGUUUCACGUCCCAGGUGGGCAACCCAUCCGCAGAAAGUUUUACGCCACUCAUUCGCGCCAGUCUUCAAAACUCGGCCGAAAAGUUUAACGGUUUAAACCUUGGAGCAAAGUUAAUCAGGGUUAAUGAUACCCGAGGCACCACGGGGCACUUUGGCGACAUCGUCUUGCUAAAAACCCCCUCCCGUAACGACGUUAACGUCUCAAGACGUUUAUACUUACUGUGGAAU